Molecule: long non-coding RNA, 375 nt
Filed under: Androctonus crassicauda
Lineage: Eukaryota; Metazoa; Arthropoda; Arachnida; Scorpiones; Buthidae
Source: RNAcentral
UUGAGACCUGGAUUAGAUCUGAUUCGUUUUUCGAUAUGAAAAGCAUAUGUUCUAAAUUUGGUUAUUCAAUUCAAAGUAUUGAAAGAUUAAAUAGAAGGGGCGGUGGACUCGUGACCAUUUCUAAUAUUCAUUCUUUUGUUGAAAGUUAUAGUUACGAGGAUCACUAUUUAUUUUAUUCUUCUAGAAAAAUGAGGAUUUGUUGUUGCCUAAUAUAUUUCUCACCGGCUAUUGUUCUGUCCAAUAAGAUUGACGUUAUAACUAAGUUAAAGAUUUAUUAAAAUAUAUAAAGACUUUUCCUAAUCAUAAAAUUAUUUUAAUUGGCGACUUUAAUUUACGUAACAUUACCUGGAUUGGAAAUACACCUAACUAUACGAC